Molecule: non-coding RNA, 1186 nt
Organism: Xyrichtys novacula (pearly razorfish)
Lineage: Eukaryota; Metazoa; Chordata; Actinopteri; Labriformes; Labridae
Source: the annotation of a GenBank genome assembly
GUAAAACUGCCAGCUGGUGCUACUGAAAACUCCGACGUAAGGGAGAUCAGACUCCGUUUUCAGGUUUUAUCGGUAAGUAAAUGGAAAGCACAAACAUAUAUUAUGUGGAUUCUACUUCAUAGUAACACGACUAAAGUAGUGAAUUUAAAUUAUUUGGAUUAGAUUAGAGAAUGAAGUUUAAAGUUUGUGUUUGGCAAUUAAAAAGUUGUACGGGAUCUGAUUUGACUGUUAUCAUGUGUUGUGGUGUAUUAUCUAGUGACGCGAAGAUAGUUUUAUUGGUAAAGAAUUUUUAAAUAUAUAUAGUGGUAGGUAUUCCAUUAUUGAGGACAUGAUGAAGAACAAUGUUUUUGUGUGAACACAGUAAUACGAAAAUGCUUUGUUAUUACGUAGGUAGCAGCUGCAUUGCUCAGUAUACAGAUGUUUGUGCAUCAGAGCAUAAAUUCUGUAGAUGUAGGAGUUACAUUAAAUGAAUUGCAUGUUAAUUAUGUGUGUAUUAUUGCACUGAUGAAAGUAAAUGUUACAUUUGUGGUUAAAUGUGUGUGCUGUUGUGGAGCAUCUUGAAAACUUAAAUAAUAUGCAACACGACUGUGUGAACUUCAGAAAACAUUGGCUUCUUAUCCAAGAAGCUUCUCUAUUUCAGAAUUGCUAGGGUGCAUGUGUGUGAUUUACUGAAAGGGCCCAGAAAACAACUGGGAGGUGUUGGGUCGUCAACGCUGGGUGUGUCCCCUUUUAAUUUAAUUGUUAACCUGAAAGAGUUAACAACUUGGAGAAAGCCCUCAAUGACCACACCCAGGGUAUUUUCAAUGAAAACAAACAGGGUAUUUCAUUCCAGGUGGAGUCUGAAUGUUAUGUCCUAUAGUGGUGUUUUAGGUUCAAAUGACCAUACUUUGUGUUUUUGAUGAUGUUGUUAUGAUUACUUAUUCCUGUCUGUUUUUUGUUUCAGUAUGCAAUAAUGGACGAAACCCUAGACAGACGGGCCAUCUUCCAUGAAAGUAUGGCGUGCCAUACUUUUGCACUCACGACAACAGCAAGAAUGGCACGCCAACUUAAAGCAGCAGAACAACGGUCUGCUUGUCUUGAAAGAGCAAUGACAACUCAAAAAGAGGAAAUUGCACGCUUACAAGACACGAACCUCACUCUAUCAAAGCAAUUGGAGGAAGCCCAAGUGGGUCUUGACAGCAUGUGU